UAGGGAAUUUUCGGCAAUGGGCGAAAGCCUGACCGAGCAACGCCGCGUGAGUGAAGAAGGUCUUCGGAUUGUAAAGCUCUGUUGUAAAGGAAGAACGAGUAGGAUAGGGAAUGAUCUUACAGUGACGGUACUUUACCAGAAAGCCACGGCUAACUACGUGCCAGCAGCCGCGGUAAUACGUAGGUGGCAAGCGUUAUCCGGAAUUAUUGGGCGUAAAGGGUGCGCAGGCGGUUUGAUAAGUUUAAAGUGAAAGAACGGGGCUCAACCCCGUAUAGCUUUGGAAACUGUUGAACUAGAGUGCAGAAGAGGGUAGUGGAAUUCCAUGUGUAGCGGUAAAAUGCGUAGAUAUAUGGAGGAACACCAGUGGCGAAGGCGGCUACCUGGUCUGUAACUGACGCUCAAGCACGAAAGCGUGGGGAGCAAAUA
RNAcentral lists this ribosomal RNA (426 nucleotides) under uncultured bacterium. Its description in RNAcentral is "bacterial SSU rRNA". It matches the Rfam family "Bacterial small subunit ribosomal RNA", at positions 355 to 774 of the family's 1533-position model. The record is from RNAcentral.